This 447-nucleotide ribosomal RNA is filed under the name uncultured bacterium. RNAcentral describes it as "bacterial SSU rRNA". It matches the Rfam family "Bacterial small subunit ribosomal RNA", at positions 29 to 524 of the family's 1533-position model. The record is from RNAcentral.
AGCGAACGCUGGCGGCAGGCCUAACACAUGCAAGUCGAGCGCCCCGCAAGGGAGCGGCAGACGGGAGAGUAACACGUGGGAACGUACCCUUCAGUUCGGAACAACCCAGGGAAACUUGGGCUAAUACCGAAUACGUCCGUAAGGAGAAAGAUUUAUCGCUGAAGGAUCGGCCCGCGUCUGAUUAGCUUGUUGGUGAGGUAACGGCUCACCAAGGCUACGAUCAGUAGCUGGUCNGAGAGGAUGAUCAGCCUCACUGGGACUGAGACACGGCCCAGACUCCUACGGGAGGCAGCAGUGGGGAAUAUUGGACAAUGGGCGCAAGCCUGAUCCAGCCAUGCCGCGUGGGUGAUGAAGGCCCUAGGGUUGUAAAGCCCUUUCGGCGGGGAAGAUAAUGACGGUACCCGCAGAAGAAGCCCCGGCUAACUUCGUGCCAGCAGCCGCAGUAAC